RNAcentral lists this ribosomal RNA (301 nucleotides) under uncultured bacterium. RNAcentral describes it as "partial 16S ribosomal RNA". It matches the Rfam family "Bacterial small subunit ribosomal RNA", at positions 509 to 807 of the family's 1533-position model. The record is from RNAcentral.
CAGUCGCCGCGGGAAUACGUAGGUGGCAAGCGUUGUCCGGAAUUAUUGGGCGUAAAGGGCUCGCAGGCGGUUUCUUAAGUCUGAUGUGAAAGCCCCCGGCUCAACCGGGGAGGGUCAUUGGAAACUGGGAAACUUGAGUGCAGAAGAGGAGAGUGGAAUUCCACGUGUAGCGGUGAAAUGCGUAGAGAUGUGGAGUAACACCAGUGGCGAAGGCGACUCUCUGGUCUGUAACUGACGCUGAGGAGCGAAAGCGUGGGGAGCGAACAGGAUUAGAUACCCCUGUAGUCCCUGUCUCUUAUAC